GUCAUCACCAUAUCUCGUGUAAACUAUGGCUGACGCUUCACUUAUAGCUAGAGAGUUGCGCAACUUAGCGAAUGAAGUCGAUAACCACGCAUCAAGUGACUAUGUUUUAUUUAGAGUAGAGGUGCUAAUUGAUGCUUUAGUAGAGCUGUAUGCCGGUAUGAAUGUCGAAACACAUCCAGGAUUGUUAGACUCUCUGCUAAAUGUUUACCUGCAUAUUCAAAAUAUGUGCGAGUCAGAGGGUGCUAAGGUGGGACGUCCAUCUUCGUUGCUUACGAUAUGUACUAUUGAAACUUAUCUCUCAAUGGGUCAAACUGCUGGAAACAUCGCAAAGUUGUUUGGUGUGUGUGAAAGAACUAUUCGUAACAGAAUGACGCAGCAUGGUUUAAGAGUAAGCGACCUGUUCUCAACUUUGGAAGACGUUGAACUGGAUGCUGUGGUAGAAGAUACUAAAACGUCAUCCCAAUUCUGGGUAUAAAAUGAUGGUUGGACAUCUCACUGCACAGGGCAUUCGUGUACAGAGGCGACGUGUUCAAGAAUCCAUGCGACGCGUGGAUCCUCAGGGUGUCUUAAUGCGCAGUCUUCAGCUGAACCCUCGGAGGCGUAGAAAAUACACUGUCCCUGCACCCAACAGUUUAUGGCACAUCGAUGGUAACCAUAAGCUAAUAAGGUAUGCUGACAGUAAUAUAAAUUAUUGAAGCUUUAAUCGUGGUCAGCUGGAUGUGUUUUCCUAUGUCAGACUGAAGCGGAAAGGUCUGUUCAGUUGACCAAAAAAACUGAAAGCAUAAAGAUGUGUAAUUGGUUUGAGUAAUUGCAGCUCAAGAUGUUUUGUCACUCUGGCUUCCUCAGUUGAUAGUGGAGCUUUUAAUUUCAGCCUCAGCAUUAAAUUUCAUCACACACAUGUAGACUACAAUUGUGAAUUUGUUGGGGUUAGGUUGAAAGGACUGUGUUGUAAGAAGCUGACAAUCACACCUAUCCUCUGGGCAAAAUCAUCACUUCACUGUCUUAGAACAUGUGAAGUUUAAUGUUGUCUUUCAAGCAUCUGCCUUGUGAAUCUAAAUCUGCAAUGACUCUUACCAUUAUGAGUUGUUAUAUGACUAUUACUGGAUGAUUAUUAAGUCAUAUGACUAUUACUGGAUGAUUAUUAAGUCAUUGGGUAAUGUCUUGUGAUGUCAUUGUGUGUGUUAAGAUGUAAUGUUGGGGAAGCUCCACCAUCAGUUCAUCCAUUUGACUAGAAUGUCUUUGCAGAUUUAUUCUACCAUGACCUGGAUAACUGAGAAAUUUCAUAAACAUAAUUGGUGGGAAAUGAGCAGAUUUUCCUAACUUUGUUGUUCAAUGCAUCAAGAAUUAUGUUAUGGUAAGUAUGUGAUAUACUUUUAUGGCUCUUUUAAUUUACUUUAGAUAGUAGGAUCUGUUUUUAUCUCAUCACUGAAAAGGCUAGUUGUUAAUAUUGUUGCUGGUUUUAGUCUGAAAUUAAUUUUCCUAUAUCUGUUCCAGGUGGCGUAUUGUCGUUCACGGUGGCAUUGAUGGCUUUAGCCGUCUAAUCGUCUACUUAAAAGCUGCCACCAAUAAUAAAGCUGCUACAGUCCUGACAAGCUUUUUAGAAGGUGUCAGCCUGUUUGAUGUGCCAUCACGUGUAAGGUCAGAUAAAGGUGGGGAGAAUAUAGAUGUUGCUCGCUUCAUGGUGUCCACCAGAGGAGAGAACAGAAACUCGCACAUUACAGGGAGGAGUGUCCAUAAUCAAAAGUAUACAGUGCCUUGCAUAGUGUUCAGACACUUUGGAGAAAAAAAAAUCUGGAUUUUUAUUGCAAACUCAUAUGUUCUACAAGUACUUUUUUAAAGCCAAAAUUAAAGGGUGGGCCUGGGUAGCUCAGCCUGCAAAGACGGUUGGCUACCAUCGAAUCCUGGUGUAAUGAGUGACUCCACUCAGGCUUCCUAACCAACCAAAUUGGCUCAGAUGCUAGGGAGGGAAGAGUAACAGGGGUUACCAUCUUCGUGGUUGCGAUGACGGUUCUCGUCCACAGCAGGGUGCGUGGUGAGCCAUAUGCAGAAUUGUAGGAAAUGGCAUGAGCCUCCACACGUGCCAUGUAUCCAAUGUGAUGCGCCCAGUGAAACACAUGAAAAUAUGCAUGGAUUGACAGACUCGGAAACGGAGGUAACCGAGGGCUGUCCCCCGCCACCUGGACUGGGGGUAGAGCAACCGUGGAUGGCUGGGUGGUGAUUGUGGACUGCAAUUUUCAAAUAGUGCCACAGAUUCUCGAUAGAAUUCAUGUGUUGCUUUUGCCUUGUGCUUGGGAUCUUUGACGGAGCAAAAUACAGGGCAAUAAUGAAUUUUCUGCUAAAAAGCUGAAACUUUUUUUUUUAGCAGGACACUGAUCCCAAGCACAAAGCAAAAGCAACAUAGGAAUUACUCGAGAACAAAAAGGUGAAUACCCUACAGUGGCCCAAAGUCCUAAUCUCAAUCCUUUUGAGAAUUUAUUUAAAAAUUUCACUCCACCCAACCAACCUGAAUCACCUGGAGCAAAUAUUCCAAGGAAUGGACAAAACUUACACUCAGCCUGUUUAUAAAACAUUUAAAACUGUUAUUACAGCAAAAUUCGGCCUGAAUAUUAAGGGGUAUGAAUUUUCACUUGGAACACAAUAAAGACAGACAUUGUUUUAAAGACACUGAAUGCAUGGACACUUUUUGCACACAUUAAUACAUGCUCACUCCUGUUUCCAAGCCACCUCUGGCUUUUUUGGAAAGUCAUUACAAAUAUCUACUCUGAUAUCUUUUAAUUUUGGCUGUAAAAAAUGUACUCAUAGGACUGCAUUUUCAAUCAAAUUUAUAAAUAGUUUUGCAAGCUCUAUGUAUGUAUGUGUCUGUAUACAUACAAUACUGUGGAAAAAGUAUUUGCCCCUUCCUGAUGUCUUCUAUUUUUCUGUACUGUAGAUCUCUCACAAAAGUUUCAGAUCUUCAAAUGUGUGAAAAGUAUUUGUCCCCUUAGUUAUUAAAUAACCAAAUGGCUGUAAAAUAGAUGAUUUUUUCAAGGUACAUUUAAGGUUAUGUAAGUCAAUUUCAGGCACAACUUUCAAAAUUUAGUCAAGGUCCUUGUUUCCAGUUUAAAUAUUUUGGCUCUUUUACUGUGUUAGGAUCGAAAGGUUGUGGAGAGAUGUUUAUGCUGGAGUGCUUGAUCUCUUCUAUACAAUCUUCACCAACCUUGAGAAUGAAGGGCUUCUGAAUCCAGAUGAUGAAAUGCAUCUCUAUGCACUGCACCGGUGCUUCAUGCCACAUGUAGAGAAACACCUUCAGUUCUUUCAGGAUGGCUGGAACCACCACAAGUUGCGGACCGAAGGAAACCGGUCACCAAUACAGCUCUGGGAAAGUCAUCAGCCUGAGGCAUUGCAAGACCCUAACCAGGUAGAUGCCAUGCAAUAUGGCAUUGACUGGACAGAGCCAUGUGGUCAUCACGAACCCGGUGUAGUGAUCCCUGAAGUACAAAUGCCACAUCAACUCACACAGCAGGAUGCUGAGAGGUUCCCAAACCCAGAUGUCCCUCUGGCUGAUGUGUUAGAGGUCUACAGAGAGACUGUAGCUUUAUUAUCAGAAAUGAUAGAUUAGCACAAAUAUACAAGAGAUGAGAGAAUUUUGUUUAAGAUUUUAGAGGUUGUGUUUUGUUAUAUUAAAUGAUUUCGAUGUGCCUGUCUGUAUUUGAUAAAAUUUGUUUAAACACUGGCAUAAUUGAUGUACUUAAAAAUUCAUUCAUGCUAUAUGGUAUAAAACAACCCAAAACCUAUAAUCAGUAAACAGCUGUACAUGUUCAGCUUAAAACGUUUAUUCAACGUGUUAAUUUUUAUAAUGCUGGCUUUGAACAGCCACACUAUCUUUGUAGUGCACUGAGGUCAGUAAAUGUUUAUUAUAACUAUUUAACCAGAGGUUAGUUUGGUAUAACUUUUACAACAACAAGGUUGUGUUCUGAAUAAUACAAUUCAAGUAUUGCAUAUGAGAUUUGUGGACUGGACGUCUGUGCUUAGUCACAAAAACAAAAAGUGGGACAUUUUAACAUUAACUCCAGUUAAUAUGGAUUAACUCUGGCAUCCAGUGAAUAUUAUUUGUAACUCAAGAACUUCUUCCAAACCAUUUUAUAUCCAUAUUCUGUACUCCAGAUAGCAGCUUAAUGUCUAGGAGACCAUAUUUAUAGUGAAUCGUUGACAACAAAAAGGUUAUGAACUCAGCAACAUGUCAAAAGUGUUUGAUAUUUGUAGACUGGAUAUCUGAUGUCUUUGUAACAAAAACUGUAAAAUUUUAACACUAACUCCUGUAAAUAUGGAUU
Molecule: long non-coding RNA, 4310 nt
Organism: Xyrauchen texanus (razorback sucker)
Lineage: Eukaryota; Metazoa; Chordata; Actinopteri; Cypriniformes; Catostomidae
Exons: 4
Source: RefSeq, a predicted model, not a curated record